UACGUAGGGUGCAAGCGUUAAUCGGAAUUAUUGGGCGUAAAGGGCGCGUAGGCGGCAUGGCAAGUGGAUGGUGAAAUCCCUCGGCUUAACCGAGGAACUGCCGUCCAAACUGCUUCGCUUGAGACCGGGAGAGGUGAGUGGAAUUCCCAGUGUAGCGGUGAAAUGCGUAGAGUAUUCGGGAGGAACACCAGUGGCGAAGGCGGCCGACUGGGCCGGACCUGACGCUGAGUCGCGAAGGCGUGGGGAGCGAACGGG
This 255-nucleotide ribosomal RNA is filed under the name uncultured bacterium. RNAcentral describes it as "partial 16S ribosomal RNA". It matches the Rfam family "Bacterial small subunit ribosomal RNA", at positions 524 to 776 of the family's 1533-position model. The record is from RNAcentral.